CCAAUAGCGUAUAUUAAAGUUGUUGCAGUUAAAAAGCUCGUAGUUGAAUUUCAGGCCUGGCUGGACGGUCCGCCCUUCGGGUGAGUACUGUCUGUGGUCGGGUCCUACCUUCUGGCGAAGCGUCAUGGCCUUAACCGGCCGUGGCGGGGAACCAGGACUUUUACUGUGAAAAAAUUAGAGUGUUCAAAGCAAGCAAUCGCUUGGAUACAUUAGCAUGGAAUAAUGGAAUAGGACAAUGGUUCUAUUUGUUGGUUUCUAGGACCGUUGUAAUGAUUAAUAGGGAUAGUUGGGGGCAUUAGUAUUCAAUUGUCAGAGGUGAAAUUCUUGGAUUUAUUGAAGACUAACUACUGCGAAAGCAUUUGCCAAGGAUGUUUUCAUUAAUCAAGAACGAAAGUUAGGGGAUCGAAGACGAUCAGAUACCGUCGUAGUCUUAACCAUAAACUAUGCCGACUAGGGAUCGGAUGAUGUUAAUUUUUUAAUGACUCAUUCGGCGCCUUACG
RNAcentral lists this ribosomal RNA (500 nucleotides) under uncultured Glomeromycotina. RNAcentral's name for it is "partial small subunit ribosomal RNA". It matches the Rfam family "Eukaryotic small subunit ribosomal RNA", at positions 591 to 1092 of the family's 1831-position model. Lineage: Eukaryota; Fungi; Glomeromycota. The record is from RNAcentral.